RNAcentral lists this transfer RNA (72 nucleotides) under Paramuricea clavata. RNAcentral's name for it is "tRNA-Ser". It matches the Rfam family "tRNA". From Rfam's summary of the family: Transfer RNA (tRNA) molecules are approximately 80 nucleotides in length. Their secondary structure includes four short double-helical elements and three loops (D, anti-codon, and T loops). Further hydrogen bonds mediate the characteristic L-shaped molecular structure. tRNAs have two regions of fundamental functional importance: the anti-codon, which is responsible for specific mRNA codon recognition, and the 3' end, to which the tRNAs corresponding amino acid is attached (by aminoacyl-tRNA synthetases). tRNAs cope with the degeneracy of the genetic code in two manners: having more than one tRNA (with a specific anti-codon) for a particular amino acid; and 'wobble' base-pairing, i.e. permitting non-standard base-pairing at the 3rd anti-codon position. Lineage: Eukaryota; Metazoa; Cnidaria; Anthozoa; Malacalcyonacea; Plexauridae. The record is from RNAcentral.
GGCUUUAGAGCUGGCGGUAGAGCAUCGUUCUAGAAAUACGAAGGUCGCGGGUUCGAAUCCCAGCUGCGGUCA